AUAUUCCUGUACCACGUCGCACUCAUUUGACUGAUGGGGGGACGGGGAAGGCUAUGGGAACCCAGGCGAUGGUCGUCCUGGGUCAAGCAUGUAGGGGUGGCCGAUGAUAAAUGCGCGGCCGCAUAACCUGAGGUGCGAUGACAGCUGGCUUCAAGCCGGCGAGUCCCGGACGCCAUGCCUCCGAGAAAAGCCUCUAGGGAGAGUGCACGUGCCCGUACCAAAACCGACACAGGUGGGCAAGUAGAGAAUACUAAGGUGAUCGAGAUAACCAUCGUUAAGGAACUCGGCAAAAUCGCUCCGUAACUUCGGGAUAAGGAGCGCCCCAGUAAGGUGAAGCACCUCGCGUGCGGAGCCUGAGAGGGCCGCAGUGAAUAGGUUCAACCGACUGUUUACCAAAAACACAGGGCUCUGCUAAGUCGUAAGACGACGUAUAGGGUCUGACGCCUGCCCGGUGCCGGAAGGUUACGUGGAGGUGUUAGGGGUAACCCGAAGCACUGAAACUAAGCCCCGGUAAACGGCGGCGGUAACAAUAACCGUCCUAAGGUAGCGAAAUUCCUUGUCGGGUAAGUUCCGACCUGCACGAAUGGCGUAACGAGUUGAACGCUGUCUCAACGAUGGGCUCGGUGAAAUUGCAGUCUCGGUGAAGAUGCCGAGUACCCGUGGCUAGACGGAAAGACCCCGUGAACCUUUACUACAACCUGGUAUUGGAGUGCGGUGCAUCUCGCUCAGGAUAGGAGGGAGUCUUUGAAGCGCCGGCUGCGGCUGGCGUGGAGACAACCUUGAGAUACCUCCCUUGAUGUAUUGUGCUUCUAACACUGCGCCGUAAUCCGGGCAGUGAACAGUGCCAGGCGGGUAGUUUGACUGGGGCGGUCGCCUCCCAAAAUGUAACGGAGGCGCGCAGAGGUUCCCUCAGCACGGUUGGAAAUCGUGCGUAGAGUGCAAAAGCAGUAAGGGAGCUUGACUGUGAGACCGACAGGUCGAGCAGGUGCGAAAGCAGGCUUUAGUGAUCCGGCAGUAGCAAGUGGAAGUGCUGUCGCUCAACGGAUAAAAGGUACUCCGGGGAUAACAGGCUUAUCGAGUCCAAGAGUCCACAUCGACGACUCGGUUUGGCACCUCGAUGUCGGCUCGUCGCAUCCUGGGGCUGAAGUAGGUCCCAAGGGUUGGGCUGUUCGCCCAUUAAAGCGGUACGCGAGCUGGGUUCAGAACGUCGUGAGACAGUUCGGUCCCUAUCUGCCAUGGGCGUUGGAGAAUUGAAAGGAUUCGUCCCUAGUACGAGAGGACCGGGAUGAACGCACCUCUGGUGUAUCUGUUGUCCUGCCAAGGGCAUCGCAGGUUAGCUACGUGCGGACCGGAUAACCGCUGAAGGCAUCUAAGCGGGAAGCCGACCUUGGGAUGAGUUCUCCCACCUCCUUGAGAGGGUAAGAUCCCUGGUAGACCACCAGGUUGAUAGGCCGGAUCUGGAAGAGCGGUAACGCUCGUAGGAGACCGGUACUAAUGGAUCGAGGGCUUGACGA
Molecule: ribosomal RNA, 1514 nt
Filed under: metagenome
Description: bacterial LSU rRNA
Rfam family: Bacterial large subunit ribosomal RNA
Source: RNAcentral